This 404-nucleotide RNase P RNA is filed under the name Deltaproteobacteria bacterium. RNAcentral's name for it is "RNase P RNA component class A". It matches the Rfam family "Bacterial RNase P class A". Rfam says of the family: Ribonuclease P (RNase P) is a ubiquitous endoribonuclease, found in archaea, bacteria and eukarya as well as chloroplasts and mitochondria. Its best characterised activity is the generation of mature 5'-ends of tRNAs by cleaving the 5'-leader elements of precursor-tRNAs. Lineage: Bacteria; Pseudomonadati; Myxococcota; Myxococcia. The record is from RNAcentral.
GGAAGCCUGAAACGCAGUCGCUGCCGGUGCCUUUGGGCAUGGGUGGAGGAAAGUCCGGGCUCCGAAGAGCGGGAUGCUGGUUAACUGCCAGUGGGGGCAACCCCAAGGAAAGUGCCACAGAAAAUAUACCGCCGAUGGCCGACACGGGUGGAACCACCCGGGCCGGCACAGGUAAGGGUGAAAAGGUGGGGGCUGCAAGCCUUAAUGUAAGAGCCCACCGCGGGCCUGGUGACAGGUCCGGCAUGGUAAACCCCAUCCGGAGCAAGUCCAAGUAAGGUGGCUGUGACGCUGCUCGCCGAGCCACCGGGUAGGAUGCUUGAGCCAUGCGGUAACGUAUGGCCCAGAGUAAUGGCUGCGACCCGCCUUGGCGGGGACAGAACCCGGCUUAUUGAAGGCUUCCACUU